This 519-nucleotide ribosomal RNA is filed under the name Polymerus castilleja. RNAcentral's name for it is "eukaryotic LSU rRNA". It matches the Rfam family "Eukaryotic large subunit ribosomal RNA", at positions 666 to 1138 of the family's 3401-position model. Lineage: Eukaryota; Metazoa; Arthropoda; Insecta; Hemiptera; Miridae. The record is from RNAcentral.
CCAAGGAGUUUAGCGUGUACGCGAGUCAUUGGGUGUUAAAACCUAAAGGCGUAAUGAAAGUGAAGGAAACUUCGUUUUCGAGGGAGGAUGAAACAUGUCUCUUUCCAGGGCUGUUUCCGCACUCCCGGGGCGUCUCUAUCUCAUUGCGAGAGGAGGCGCACCUAGAGCGUACACGCUGAUACCCGAAAGAUGGUGAACUAUGCCUGGCGAGGACGAAGCCAGGGGAAACCCUGGUGGAGGUCCGCAGCGAUUCUGACGUGCAAAUCGAUCGUCGGAGCUGGGUUUAGGGGCGAAAGACCAAUCGAACCAUCUAGUAGCUGGUUCCCUCUGAAGUUUCCCUCAGGAUAGCUUGCGCUCAAAUGAUACGAGUCUCAUCCGGUAGAGCGAAUGAUUAGAGGCCUUGGGGUCGAAACGACCUCAACCUAUUCUCAAACUCCAAAUAGAUGAGAACCCCGGCUUUCUUGAACUUAUGUUGAUGAAGCCGGGGGCUUGGAUCAGAGUGCCAAGUGGGCCAAUUUU